Molecule: long non-coding RNA, 291 nt
Organism: Priapulus caudatus
Lineage: Eukaryota; Metazoa; Priapulida; Priapulimorpha; Priapulimorphida; Priapulidae
Exons: 3
Source: RefSeq, a predicted model, not a curated record
GGGAUGUCACGUGGAGAUUACGUCAGACACGCAGACGAUUUGCGAGUGUGACCACCUGACAAACUUUGCCGUUCUAAUGAGCAUACUCCCAAAUACGGAGCGGAACUUCGCUCUUGAUCUGGUAUCGACCAUCGGAAUGUCCAUCUCGACCAUUGCCGUCUUCCUAACUAUCGUAACAUAUGGCUGCCUGUGGAGAACGUUGCGUUCUGGCCGCGCCAUCUUGCUCAUCAACCUAUGCGUCAGUCUGUUUCUAUCCGCGCUUGCCUUCCUACUCGGGAUCGAGCAGGUGGA